This is a non-coding RNA of Triticum aestivum (bread wheat), 135 nucleotides long. The record is from Rfam. NCBI's taxonomy places the organism in Eukaryota, Viridiplantae, Streptophyta, Magnoliopsida, Poales, Poaceae.
AACGUACUCCCUCCGACCCAAAAAUUUUGUCUUAGAUUUGUCUAAAUACGGAUGUAUCAAAUCACCUUUUAGUAUUAGAUACAUCCGUAUAUAGCUAAAUUUAAGACAAGAAUUUUGGGACGGAGGGAGUAAUAU